Molecule: microRNA, 24 nt
Filed under: Gallus gallus (chicken)
Lineage: Eukaryota; Metazoa; Chordata; Aves; Galliformes; Phasianidae
Description: gga-miR-12242-5p
Source: miRBase by way of RNAcentral
GCCGAGGGGGGGUUGCGGCGCAGU